AAUCCCGAUGGGCUACCAACUUAUAGGUGCAUAAUGAAAGAGAUGACAGAACAAGGUAAAGAGAUUUUUAAUCUCC
Molecule: transfer RNA, 76 nt
Filed under: Citrobacter phage Mijalis
Lineage: Duplodnaviria; Heunggongvirae; Uroviricota; Caudoviricetes; Andersonviridae
Description: tRNA-Phe
Source: RNAcentral